RNAcentral lists this non-coding RNA (24 nucleotides) under Arabidopsis thaliana (thale cress). Lineage: Eukaryota; Viridiplantae; Streptophyta; Magnoliopsida; Brassicales; Brassicaceae. The record is from RNAcentral.
AGCGACACUCGAACCGACGAUCUC